CCUACGGGUGGCAGCAGUGGGGAAUAUUGCACAAUGGGGGAAACCCUGAUGCAGCGACGCCGCGUGAGCGAAGAAGUAUUUCGGUAUGUAAAGCUCUAUUAGCAGGGAAGAAAAUGACCGUUCCUAACUAAGAAGCUCCUGCUAAAUACGGGACAGCAACCGCCGUAAUACGUAUGGCUCAAGCGUUACUCGGAUUUACUGGGUGGAAAGGUAGCGUAGGCGGUAAGGCAAGUCUGAUGUGAAAGGCCAGGGCUCAACCUGGGGACGGCAUUGGAAACUGUUUAACUGGAGUGUCGGAGAGGCUAGUGGAAUUCCUAGUGUAGCGGUGAAAUGCGUAGAUAUUAGGAGGAACACCAGUGGCGAAGGCGGCUUGCUGGACGAUGACUGACGCUGAGGCUCGAAAGCGUGGGGAGCAAACAGGAUUAGAUACCCCAGUAGUC
RNAcentral lists this ribosomal RNA (440 nucleotides) under uncultured bacterium. RNAcentral describes it as "partial 16S ribosomal RNA". It matches the Rfam family "Bacterial small subunit ribosomal RNA", at positions 338 to 795 of the family's 1533-position model. The record is from RNAcentral.